AAAACUGCUAUGUUUGUACUGGAUGCAAUUAUAAAUUAAGACAAAACUGAACGGAACUGAUCUCACAAAGUAAUGUUGUUACAAUGUGCAAUUGAGCAAAUAUGAAUUUGUUUUGAGCUUAAUUCAUUUUUUAGUCUUGAUUGUCCUUUCCAUUCUCGAAGGGGUAUAAUCUGAUCCCUCUGCUCUACUUCUGACUUAAUCAAUCUGUGAUGCCGUAUGCUAUUUUGGUAGUUCCUGUUUUCCACAAAGAAGUAGAAUUUGAAACUGAAAAAAUGAAUUGAUGACUGGAGAAUUGUGCCAUUUGCAGAUAAUGUAUUAAUUUGUUUGCUUAUUUAAAAUAUUUAUAUCAACCGUUCAUGAUACAGUCCUUCAAAGUAUCAUUCAAUCACAUUUUUAAAGCCAUAAUAAGCAAUGUCAACAUAUAAAAAGUUAUUAGGCUCCUUCCCACAGGACAGUUGAUGAUAGAUGGCCCUGUGAUGUGGUGGGAAUAGUCAGAUAUUGUUGAACUCCAACUCAAACCAACCCAAGCCAGCAUGGCCAAUGGCCAAAAUGAUGGGGGUCAGGGUCCAGCAACUUAUGGAGGAUCACAAGUUUCCCAUCCUUUGGGAAACAUUUGGUUGUACAUGACCCUGGUGGGGCAACAGUGGGAAAGUUCAGGUGGAGUAGGAUCUGAGGUUUAGUCUGCCCAAGUCCUUCUCACUCCUGAAACUUGAUGGUAGGUGGUCCUGAGAGGGGUGGGGAGAGAAGGUCCAGCUGGAUUAGUCUCUGUGACAGUUUUCAGUCAUGUCCCUCUUUCUGCUGUAGACAUAUAGAGUUGCCAGUAGUGUACAGUAUUUACAGACUAUUCAUAUUUCAGCAGUUCUGUCCAUUGGAAGUGGAUCCGAAAGUUGUAGGAAUUGCUCAGAAUAAGCUUUUGAGAGUGGUGUUAAAUUUUUCACCCAGUAUACUGCUACACAUUUUAGCGCAGAGGUUGGUUUUAUGCCAAUCGAAUAGUAUAUUUUUAGAAUCAUUUUUCUCUACUAUUAUAAAUUAAAUAGAAAAUCAGAAAAUGGUUUGCCUAAUAGCUUUGGAAGCUAUUCAGGAAUAGAAACAUAUUCUGGACAGAGUUUGCCCAUAAUUAAUGGGAAAGUAAAAUAUUGUGGACUGUGCAAUCCAAUCCUAUAUCUAUUUACUCAUAAAUAAGCCCGCUGAGUUAAAUGGAUCUUAUUCCCAAAUACAUGUUCAAAGGAUUUCAGCCUAAAUGAUGUCUGUGUUCAGUUGUGGUCUAUGUGUUUGUGAAAAUAGGGUUAAUGCAAACACAGAGGACAAGAGAUGGUAUAUUUAAGUGUAGGGUUUUUUUUGUAGAUAGAUAAUCUGAAGGAUUAAAUUUAUUUUUCAUCCCAAAUCUGAAAACUGAAUUGCUGUGUAGGACAAUAAGACCCUAUAAUAACCAUUAGGCAUUAGUGACUUCCUGUGGCCCUAUUUACUAUUAAUAGUACCCAUUUUUUGUUACCAGUCUCUGACAAAUCACUGUGCAUAUUUCCGUUCCCUUUUUUCCAUUUGGGAUCACUUUGUAUAAAGAAUGCUAGAGCUACUUGCUAGGGUUGUCAUUCUUCAGGGUUCAGAAUCUGCCUUCCCCAUCCAGGGUCUUUAGAAGUUAGAUUUAUGAGGACCACUAAGGCAUCAUGCAGUGCACAGCUUGCCAUUUCACACACUACAUGCUUUGUACUGUGAUAGUAUAUUGUCAGACUCUUUUGUUUGUCUAAUAUAUCUUAAAUGGAAAGAACAAACACUCCCUUGGCCUUUAAAUUAAUGGAGGGCAUGCUAUUGCAGAGUCAAGGAAGGCUAAAUGAAGCAGACAAAGUGGCGCUUUCAGCAAUGUGUAAUGGGACAUUAUUCCUUGGUAUGAGAAUUGGGGGGGGGGUGUAUUACAGCCAUGUCCCUAUUUUCAUAUUUUGAACAUUGAACAAUAUGGUUACUGAUAGGCACCAGCUUCAUAUUUAAUAGUUCACUUAAAACCAGUGCAACUGGGUGCCCGUGAUUACACUUCAACUACACCCCAACACCAUGCAUAGUUGAUCAAAAGUGAGCACCACUGAGUUCAGCAAAGCUUACUUCCAUAUAAACCAGUAUCCAAUCACAACCUUGCUGUGCAAUCCAAUGUAUGUUUACUCAGAAGUCCCACUUUUCUCAAUGGCUCUUGUCUCCCAGUAAACAUAUGCAUUAUUCUUAAUAAACUUGUAGAGUUGUACUGUUAGUCAUUGGCAAAUGGUUGGACUGGCCAUAAUCUACCAGAUUUAAAGAUGGUAAAAUAUGUUUUUAUGGUUUGAAGAUACAUCUCUAGUGAACAAAAGUCCUGGUGGUUUAAAGCGAAAGUCUCCAGAUUCUUGUGUGAGUUGUAUUUUAUCUGUAUUGUUUUAAUUUGUGCAAGCUACCUUGUGUCCUAGCCUGGGGAAAAGGCAGGAUAUC
Non-coding RNA from Podarcis lilfordi (Lilford's wall lizard), 2448 nucleotides. The record is from the annotation of a GenBank genome assembly. Lineage: Eukaryota; Metazoa; Chordata; Lepidosauria; Squamata; Lacertidae.